CUCAGAUCUUGUGCGCUGAAAAUUUUGCAGGGAAGAUUCAAUGACUUUUUUUUAGAGGCCACAGAUAAAUAUUCUCAAAGCCGCCUCUUAUACUGGCAAUAUUUUAUAUUAUAUUCUAGCCUUAUUUUAAAAUUGGAGUUGAUGUGUUUUGUGUACAAGAGAAUUACAUAAGAUAUCACAGGUGUUUUCUUGACUUUCAUUUGAUGUGGGACUCUCGUUUUAAGAGCAAGAAGUCUUAGCCCUCUAACAUUCUAUUAGUGCUAUUUUCUGAAAUUGCAUAUAAAUACUUGCGUUACCUCCAAAAAAACAAGACUGUUAUAUCUGCCAGAGAGAAUUCCCUUUCCCUUUAUGCUAUUUAGCUAGUUAGUAAGCCCAAAUAAGUUUCAAAGCAAACACAGCUGAGAGUGUGCUACCUGUGCACAACUCUGAUAUAAAUAAAGUGAAUACAAGAAUAUUCUUACAUGCUUGAUAAAAAGAAUAUGCUGACUUCUCAGGAUUUCUACAGAGAUUUGGAAACAGGGAUUUUUGUACAUUAACAUUAAAAGUUUGCUGUGAAUAGCAGAGUGGGAAAAUUACAUAUAGCAGGAAUAAUUCUCUAAGCUAAGUCUACUUUCCUUGUCAUCCCCCCAUGCAACAAUGAUGAGUAUGAAUCCAUUUUCUUCCUUUCAAAAUAUAGACCUUAAAAAUGAGACAAGCACGCUGUAGGAAGUAGAUGUGUAGGAUGCAUGUUAAAAUAAUGAGGGUAAUUGAAUGUACCUUGAAAAAUGAAAACAAUGUGGAAAAUUAUAAGUUAGAGAUCAUGUAAAAUCAAUGCAUACAAAGUUUGUGAAAAGAGGCAGGUGACUAGAAAGCAGUGAUAUUUUAAAUGAUAGCUGGAAAGCACAUAUUUACUUCAGUUUUGCUUUCUUAUUUUUUUUCUUUUCAGUUUGUAUUUACCAAAUUGCCAAAACAGCAGCGAUUUCUGAGAAGCCUGGGUUUCUUCCAAGCUGGAAAGAGACAUGACUAAAAUUAAAAUUACAUCAACUGUGCUUAUGGAGGACCAAAAAGAGGCCUGCACUGGAG
Molecule: long non-coding RNA, 1062 nt
Filed under: Coturnix japonica (Japanese quail)
Lineage: Eukaryota; Metazoa; Chordata; Aves; Galliformes; Phasianidae
Description: lncRNA (ENSCJPG00005000853.1)
Source: RNAcentral